This 260-nucleotide long non-coding RNA is filed under the name Populus trichocarpa (black cottonwood). Its description in RNAcentral is "long non-coding RNA (PTRI_LNC000661)". The record is from RNAcentral. Lineage: Eukaryota; Viridiplantae; Streptophyta; Magnoliopsida; Malpighiales; Salicaceae.
GCUCCCCUUUGUCAAUGAGAUUAGCUGUUUUAAACAGUUAAUAGUACUGCUUUGACUUUCCUAGUUUUCUUCAUUGAAAUUAAUUCCAUGGGGGGUGGUUUUAGUUUUUGUCAAACUAUAUAUGCAAGUUAAUCCAAAAACCCUUUGCAAGGUAGCCGUGACCCUAUAUGGGAAGGCAAGUGUCCAACUGUUCCAAGUCAGGUAGCCGUGACCCUAUAUGGGAAGGCAAGUGUCCAACUGUUCCAAGUCAGUGAGAAGGC